This 27-nucleotide ribosomal RNA is filed under the name Ipomoea hederacea. RNAcentral's name for it is "partial 18S ribosomal RNA". The record is from RNAcentral. Lineage: Eukaryota; Viridiplantae; Streptophyta; Magnoliopsida; Solanales; Convolvulaceae.
GUAAGGUGACUGCGGACGUCAUUGUCG